RNAcentral lists this ribosomal RNA (442 nucleotides) under uncultured bacterium. Its description in RNAcentral is "partial 16S ribosomal RNA". It matches the Rfam family "Bacterial small subunit ribosomal RNA", at positions 338 to 795 of the family's 1533-position model. The record is from RNAcentral.
CCUUCGGGUGGCAGCAGUGGGGAAUAUUGGGCAAUGGGCGCAAGCCUGACCCAGCAACGCCGCGUGAAGGAAGAAGGCUUUCGGGUUGUAAACUUCUUUUAAGGGGGAAGAGCAGAAGACGGUACCCCUGGAAUAAGCCACGGCUAACUACGUGCCAGCAGCCGCGGUAAUACGUAGGUGGCAAGCGUUGUCCGGAUUUACUGGGUGUAAAGGGCGUGCAGCCGGAGAGACAAGUCAGAUGUGAAAUCCACGGGCUCAACCCGUGAACUGCAUUUGAAACUGUUUCCCUUGAGGGUCGGAGAGGUAAUCGGAAAUCCUGGGGUAGCGGGGAAAUGCGUAGAUAAAAGGAAGAAAACCAGUGGGGAAGGCGGAUUACUGGACGAUAACUGACGGUGAGGCGCGAAAGCGGGGGGAGCAAACAGGAUUAGAUACCCCAGUAGUC